ACUUGUCCAUGCCUACAACUGUACUAAAAAUGAAGUCACUGGCUACACCCCAUACGAACUAAUGUUUGGACGUUGUCCUCGUCUCCCCAUUGACCUCGCUUUUAAUCUUCCUGUACGUGAGAAAGAACAACAGACACAUUCACAGUAUGUGCAAGACUUAAAAGCUAGGUUGAAAGAAAGUUAUCUGCUAUCUUCAAAGAAUGCUGCAAAGAACGCUGAGAGGAACAAGACUCGAUUUGACCAACGUAUUAUACCGUCCAAGCUAGAAGUUGGAAGCAGAGUUUUGGUACGGAACAUGAGGCUGAGGGGCAAACAUAAACUCGCUGACAAAUGGGAACCAGAUGUCUUUGUAGUGCUGAAAUGUGCCAAAGAUCUCCCCGUCUACACUGUAAAACCAGAAUGCAAAGACGGCCCAAUUCGCACAUUGCACAGAGAUCUCCUUCUUCCGUGUGGGUUUCUUCCUGCAACAGAGUCAGGACCAUCAGAUGAGACUAUUCCAAUCACACCCUCUUUAACUCGUCAACAGGCCAAGAAACAACAGGAAUCUCCUGAGUACUUUGUUGAAGAGAAUGUAUUUGAACCGACCUUUGUCCACCUUGCCCCGCUCCCAAUGGAGUUUAGAGUGGAGAAGUCUCUCAAUCCCCUACAGUCUUUUCCCAGUGGUGAGGAGGAAAGACUUCCUCCAACAUCUACACCUGAAAUGGAAUCAGCUGGAGAAGCUCUGUCAGGAUCCCAGAGGGAAGACCCAUUGGAGUUUGAUGCUGAUGAAACAUCAGGGGAAGAUUUGCUUGAAAUCUUACCCGAACCCAUUCUUGAAACCAUGUCUACAGACUUGUCCGAUCCUGGAGUCUCUGACAACUUAGCGGCCGAACCUAGUCCUAUGACAUUACCAACUCUUAAUUGCUCAGAUUCGGUUAUUGACCCCCCUUUGAGGCGGUCAACGCGUCACAGAUCACCACCUAGGCGACUGCAGUAUGCCCGCUUAGGCAAUCCAUUGAUAUCAGUUGUUCAGUCUCUGUUUCAUAGUCUGUCAGAUGCUUUAACCACCGCAACCACCAAUUCUAACCCUUCAGUCGUACAUAUUGUGUAGUGUUGUCAUGCAACGGGACGUGCAUGUAUUCAAGGGGGGAGGGUGUAACCCAGAGUAAUUUCCUGCACUUAUUUCCUCCCAUUGAACGCAUCACAAAUGCAUGACUCCAACCACAUGACUUUGCUCAGCCAAUCGAAUGGCAUGUAGGUCAUAGUAAGCCUGUCCCGGCUUCCUCCCGUCAGAUGCGUGGAGGCAAGCCAGGUGACAGAGCUGUUGCAGGUGUGUAUUGGCAAACAUUUGCUUUUCCCGUUUUAAUGCAUUUUCUUAACACCAACUAACUUAUGCAACUUAGAUGCUGAUUACUGUGAGCCAGAGCCAUAAUGUUGUUGUGCACUGAACAGAAUGGAAUUGGUGAGUUUGAACUUUUAAUUGACUGUUUGUAUUGCUACCAGCUGACCCUAAUCGGCUGCUGCCGGUCCAAACAAUUUGAUUUUGAUUUGACUGAUAGUUGUUGAAUAACAAAUGUUGUGGAGCUACAUAGUAUGUAUGUAUGUAGCAGUUGAAAUGUUUUCAGUUAAAUCCUUAUUGGUUAGAAAUAUUAUAUUUAACCAAUAUAUUGUUUGUUUAUUUUUAUAAAUUGUGUACACAGGAACAAGAAUAACUUAAUGUAUUUAGCUUAAUUGGCUGACAUUUUUGUAUGUUAUUCUUGUGAUUUCUUAUUGGCCUUGUUUAUUUAAUGCAGGCCAGGUGAACCUUUUUUGGGUAUGGAAAAGGAUGGCGAGCCAAUGAACGGCUAGGAGCAGGACUCAUUCUGCAUUGAAGCUUCCACUGGACUGAUUCUCCACACGGAGCGGACAUUCCCGGACUCUCUCAUCAUUGCUCUUGGGGACUUUAACAAAGCCAAUCUGAGCCAUGAGCUUCCAAAAUAUAAGCAGUAUAUUAAAUGCCCGACCAGAGAGGAGAGGACAUUGGACCACUGUUACAGUACGAUCAGCGGGGCCUAUCGCGCGGUGCCCCGCGCUUCACUCUGACUUUCUGACCACGUCAUGAUCCACCUAAUCCCCGCGUACAGACAGAGGCUGAAGCUCUCCAAACCUGUCGUGAGGACUAAAAAACUGUGGAGCAACGAGGCUGUGGAGGAGCUUCGCACGUGUUUGGAGACCACAGACUGGGACACAUUGAAGGCUGCUUCUAACAGCUUGGACGAGUUUACGGACACUGUCACCUCCUAUAUCCACUUCUGUGAGGACAGCAUUGUGCCAUCACGCACCAGGGUGAGUUAUAACAAUGACAAACCCUGGUUUACUCCUAAACUCAAAAAGCUGUGGCUGGAAAAGAGAAAGGCGUUCAGAAGCGGAGACAGGGACUGCUACAGAGAGGCCAAGUACAGGUUCACUAAAGAAGUGGACAUUGCUAAACAUCAGCACUCUGAGAAGAUGCAGCAGCAGAUCUCAGAGAAUGACUCGGCCUCUGUGUGGAAAGGUUUUUAGGAAUAUCACAAACUACAAGCCUAAAACCCCCCACUCCACUGAUGACUUGCUCUUAGCCAACACCCUUAACGACUUCUACUGCCAUUUAGACGAGCCAUCAGGCAGCCUUCACACCUCCAACGACCCCAACAAUAGAGGCACUUUGGACACUCAUUCCCCCACCUCUCCCCCCUCCAUAUAGCCAUCACCACCUUCAAACUGUUCACCUGCAACACCCGCCCCCUCACCCCACACAAAAGAGGAUUUCACACCACCUCCUCUCACCACAACUCUUCAUAUUCAUGAAGCAGAUGUGAGGAAGCAGUUUAAGAGUCUGAAUGCUCGGAAAGCUCCCGGCCCAGACGGCGUGUCUCCUGCCACCCUCAGACACUGUGCAAACGAGCUGGCCCCAGUGUUUUCUGGCAUCUUCAACUCCUCACUGCAGGCAUUUCAUGUGCCUGCCUGCUUCAAGUCCUCCACCAUAAUCCCUGUCCCCAAGAAACCUAGGAUCACUGGACUAAAUGACUACAGACCCGUGGCUCUGACAUCUGUGGUCAUGAAGUCAUUUGAGCGCCUAGUUCUCUCCCAUCUCAAGACCCUCACGGCCCCCCUCCUGGACCCCCUGCAGUUUGCAUAUAGAGCCAACAGGUCUGUAGACGACGCCAUCAACAUGGCCCUACACUUCAUCCUGCAGCAUCUGGACUCCCCAGGAACCUACGCCAGGAUCCUGUUUGUGGACUUCAGCUCUGCCUUCAACACCAUCCUUCCAGACCAUCUCCGAGGCAAGCUUUCCCAGAUGAAUGUGCCUGAUCCCAUCUGCCGGUGGAUCACUG
Molecule: long non-coding RNA, 3332 nt
Organism: Astatotilapia calliptera (eastern happy)
Lineage: Eukaryota; Metazoa; Chordata; Actinopteri; Cichliformes; Cichlidae
Source: Ensembl